AUGAGGGGAGCGGGAUGGAGCGGCGUGUGCUCAGUGCGCAGGGUUUGCGUAUCGUCCUGGGUAGGGCACGGCGGUAAAGAAGAGCUUUGAACCGACAGCCGGCGGCCAGAGGAGAGGGGUGCUCUGCCUGGAAGGGGAGGCGGGAGGAUGGGCGGCGGAGACGCGGGUACCGAAGUGUUUCCAUCCGAGCGGGUUAUAUGAAGUCAGCGUGGGUGUUACGUAACCGUCCCGGCGCUGGCGCGGUGUUGGAGUAGAGAACGAAGUUAGGAAAUAAAUAAAAUCGUGAAAUGUGCGGGUCACGCGAAAGCCAGGAGUGUGCAGGGCAGGGACGGCGGGAUGAGCCUGGAGGAGCUCCGCGGUCCAGCGCCUUCCCCAGGCUACGGAUUGAGCGACCCUCCCGGUACCGAAUGUAAAGCCCUCCUGUGUGAGCCGGCCUGGUCACACAGGAGGCGGGCAGCAGCAUUUCUGCACAGUGCGGGACCCAGACACAAAGGGUUUCUUGUCCUCCUGUUUGUGUCCAUUACAUCUCGUCCUGCCACUGAGCAGCACUGAGAAGACACUGGCUCCGUCUUUAUUGGAUGAUAAAUACUGCCUCCUAUCAGUAUUUCUACAAACUGAACAAGCCAGAAAAGAAUCCAGUUCAUGUUUCAGAGUUUGGCUGUUUUGGUGAGACAAAUGACACCUUGGAACCACAAAUACAAGCAAGUUUUCAUUAAAGCAAUGAAAGGUAAACCCAAAUGCAAGGAAAAAGUACAUCUGCAAGAACUGUGAUGCUGUUUUACUGCUGAGACAUAAUAAUAAUAAACAUUUUAAAAGGUUAAACCCUAGUUUAUAAAUAAUAAGAUCAAGUUUCAAACACACAUUGCCAAACAGCUGUUUGAUGCUUUUUUCCCUUCACACUAAGGUUACUCCAUGUGUUCAAGAGCAUGAAGCAAAGGCUCUUCUUACCUGAACACACUGAGGUUUUAACUGGAGGCACUGGGAAGGCAGGUGAGGUUUCACAGCAAAUUUACAGGGGGCUCAGUGACCAAGGUGGACCAGGGAUAACAAUCUGAGCAAUCUGAGACCUAAUGCUGCAGAUUAAUACUACAAUUUCAAACGAGCACCUCGUGACGAGCUAAAAGAAUCCAAACUUAGGGAUAAAGACAAUGAAAUGUAAACUGCAGGCUCUCACCCACAGCAGAAUUUUCUGGCCAUGCAAAGACCAAUACCUAUCCUGGCAGGUUGACUGCUAUCACGUGGCAGGCACCUUGUGCAGUAUUUUCAGCCAAAUUGUCCAAGACUGGUUUUGCAGUCUUGCCCCUGGAGCAAAGCUGACUUUGCUGGGUACAGAGAGAUGCCAAAUAUAGUGGUGGAAUUUAAGACUUGUAGCUUAAGGACUAGGAAACAGCUUCAAUGCUUAAUGAGCAAAAUUAAUCAUGUACAUCAAAGGACCCAGGGGGGUAAUGUCAGAGCUAAGCCGAGCACUGGAGGCUGCUGCUUUGCCAGGUACAUGGAUUUAAUGCUGAUGCCUAGACUGAUGCCUAAAGGGGUGAGUCUCUCCCAGCAGCUUGCACAAUCCCAUUUACACAGAUCACACCCAGCUCUGGGAUGUGUAUUAAAUACACUGCCAUGGCAAAUGUGGUGGCUUCCUGCAAACACCACCUCUUUGGAGGGUUGUAGGGGGGAAGAGGGAAGAGAAUCCACUAAAUUUGGUGGCUCUGAAGUGGUGGCCUGGGUACUCUGGUGGGGCACAGAGGUGCCUUAAGUCAAAAGGUUUUAAGCCCAACAUUAAAAUGGGUCAUACAAUUCAAAUACAUUAUUGCAAGGCUUUCAGUGAGUAAGCAGAAGCUUCCUGUAAAAACACUGCUGAAUUCAGCCCAAGCCAAACAGAACAUAUAAAGUAUGGGGCAACCCUGUAAUACUUCGCUGUCAGUCAAACACUGACAAAAUAAAAGGAGACAAUUUUCAGGUGAGACUUAAGAAAGUUUGGGACUUUAUUCUGUGUUUAUCUGUCAUGAAUGUUUGAUAUUUGGUAGUCUUAUGUUAUACCUCAGAUGUUGCCCACUUAUGGUGUCCCCCUAAACCAUAACCAAAGUCUGUAUUUUAUUUUUAUUUUCAAUAUAAGUACUUGUGAAGGAUUUACUUGUGAAGAACUUUAAGGAUUUACCCAUGACCAUGUGUGUGUAACAAUUUAACACAAAAGCCAGUAAGCCAGAGUUGAGCCUGGCUUAACUCUUAAUUUCAGAGGCACAGCCUAUAGAGCUUUUCUGCUGAAAUUGUAUCUAGGACUACACAAGGAGAGCUGACAAACACCUUCCUCACUGGAGUCUGUGCACCCUUUAGAUAAACUGCUGUCUCUCAUAGAUUAAUCAAGUACUUGGAAGAAGCUCUGCCGGCCUGCCUGGGAAGACACACACUGUGCUAACUUGGGGAUACCUUAAUAAACAAUAUGAUUCACUUUGGAUUUGUAAAACACAAACACUUUAGACUUAAACAUUUUGGAGGAAACCAAAAUGAAAAAAAAAACUGAAGUUAAUUUAGCAACUGUUCCAGCUUGGAUUACUUUCCCAUGCAUACAUGCAUGCACACGUACAUGUGCACACAAAAUAUUCACCAGAGUUCAAGCAAUGUACUGAUUUUUAGGAACUGUGACUUUUCAGGUUUUCUGCACUACUUAGCACACAUCAAACAGGGAUCUGACACAUGAAAGUGACACUAAACCAUUCUUUUGUACGUGGCAGUUCAGUGCAACAGUGAGAAUCAGCCCCACAGGUAAAAUAUCAAGGGAUCAAUUCAAAUGGAUUUCCAGCUGAGCCACAGCAGGCAUGACCAUGGCUUGUUCUCAGAAAGCUCAGCUGGCAGCUGAUGUCUUUUCAGUCACCUCUCAGGCAAACCAGCUCUGUAGCUGGUGAUCUUGUGAUACAAAUAUCCCCAAAUGUAAAAAGGCUGAGUGAUGACAAUGACAAUGAAGAACAGAAUUGUUCAUUAUAUUUUUUACAAAUACUUAUUUCUCUGAAAAUGUUCAUUACUUGAGGACAUGCAGAUCAAUAAAUCAAUAAACAAAUGUAUAGAAAGAUAAAAAUACCAGGCAAAGUGUUACAUUUUUAUUAGGAGAAGAGAACUUUCAUACUGAAUUACCUGGGAUAUAGCCCACGAGCAGGAACUUGAAACUUCACACUGCUGCUGGGGUCUGUCAUUUUCAAUACCAUUAUCUCCGGUGUUGUUCAAAACAGAAAUAGAGUGUUGCUGUUUAUUUGCUAAAGGCCUCAGCUUACACUGAUAAGCACCAGUUAAUCUUCCGAAAUGCUUCUUGAACUAUUAAGUACAGACUCAAUUUUGUAACAGAGUUUAUCUUGCUGUCCUGCUUGCUGCCUGUGUGUGAUCGCCAAUCCUUGCUGUGCCAACUACAGCAGCUGCCACUUUGGAAAACUUAAUUCCUAUCCGGUUUUAUAGAAUGUUUUGAUUUGCAAAGCAGGGAAACCAACAGCAUGUAGCUGCUCAGUUCUUGCUCAUCCAGCAGUAGCUCUGUAUCAGUUCUAUUUCUCUGUCAAAAACCAGUUUUCAUCCUAGGACAUGCUUGUACGUGGAAAGAAAAAGAAGGUGUAAAGAAUGAGGAAAAGUGAAGGGGAAAACUAAAGCAACCUUCCUCUUCUACUCCUGGAGGACAGUGAGACCAGCUACAGAGGAUACUGCAAAACCAUUUUUCUGUACUUUCUUAUGCAAGUUUUGGAAAGAAGUGGUUACAGGAGAGACAGAAGGGAAGAUGUCUGUGGCUCUGAAUUUAACAAGGAAAUUCUGGAGGGACUGCAUCAAGAGAUCUCUAUAUAACACACAGAUGUCAUCUGUGCAAUUACUGCAGGGGCUGAUGGAAUUUCUAGAGGCUCUCUGCUUGGAAUGAGGGCAUAUUAAAUCAGUUACAGUGGGUGAGACCCACUGUACUGUCCUCACUGUUAGGACAGUAACACAGUGAACAGGGUGGUUUUCUCUUGAGGGUGUGUGUGGGGGAUAUGUGUCUGUGGGUGGUUAUAAAUUGUUUUGCAGAGUACUUCAUAUCAUAGAGCAUGUGUUGAGCUUUUGACUCUCAAAAUAACAAGACCAACCCUCUCAAACAAGUUAGAAACCUGUGGCACAGAAGUGAUAAGUCAGCUCAGAGGAGUGGGGUAGGGAUCACAAGAAAGGAAAGAUGUCUGCAUGUGGCGAAGGUGAAAACCACCAACUCUUUUUAACAAUCAUUUCUCUCCAGCUAGGUUACAGCAAGGAACCUAAAAGCCAAGAUUUGGGAAAGAAAGGAACUCAAAAGCAGGGAAACCCAGACAGUGCUAAAGAUGUUAACAAAACAUGCUCCAAAAAGCAAAGAAAUGUGAAAUGCUACUCUUUUACUUUCCUGGCCAACAGUCUAUGCUAGGGAACACCUGUGGAAUGAGCAGAGGUAAGUUUCUGCAGUUGUGUGCAGGCUGCUUGUCUGGCUGUGAGGCACCUCUUCCCCAGGCAUCAGCCUGGCUUCUUCAGAAGUCACUGCCAGGCCAGACAGACAUCUAUGGGAUCAUCUAUGGGAUCAUCUAUGGGAUCAAAGCAACUGAGUUUCUCCUGGAAAUACUGCAGAGAGACAUCCAACAUACUGUGUCUAGCACAUGGCACGCCCUCAAAGUUUGUCCUGCAAACUACAAGAAGUGAUGUAUGAGACUUGCACGGAUGUGAAAUUAAGGGGAAUCACCUACGUGUCCCAAAGGAAUGGUCCCACUAUGGACACCCCAUACUUACCUUCCAGUGUCUCACAGUGUUUCAAAGCACAAUUUGAUGGCAAACUCAACUGCUUCCUUCAGUUCAUAAUAGCAUCAUCCGAUUUGUUCCUUGGUGAAAUCAUGAAACACAGAUAUUUAUGCCUUAAGAUUUUCUGAAAAACUGACAUUUUACCAGCCAUAAAUUAUAAAGACAGUUAUGCCUUUGCAAACUACUCCCAGCAAAACUGGAUGAACACUGUAAUUACUUCUUGCAAUC
Molecule: non-coding RNA, 4980 nt
Organism: Zonotrichia albicollis (white-throated sparrow)
Lineage: Eukaryota; Metazoa; Chordata; Aves; Passeriformes; Passerellidae
Source: RefSeq, a predicted model, not a curated record